AACGCACAUUGCGCCCCCCGUAACUGAGGGGCAUGCCCGUCUGAGCGUCAUACGAACCCAUCGGACCGAGCCGUCCCGUGUCGGGCGUCGCCUCUGGGCGUCGCCUCGGAUCCAUCGGUCUAGAGAGCGGACGAGAUCCUUUAGGACUGGCCGUUCCCGACCCUAAAACACAUCCAGAAUCGACCUCAGAUCGGGUAGGACCACCGCCUGAACUUAA
Molecule: unclassified non-coding RNA, 217 nt
Filed under: uncultured fungus
Lineage: Eukaryota; Fungi
Description: partial contains 5.8S ribosomal RNA, internal transcribed spacer 2, and large subunit ribosomal RNA
Source: RNAcentral